Molecule: ribosomal RNA, 253 nt
Filed under: uncultured bacterium
Lineage: Bacteria
Description: partial 16S ribosomal RNA
Rfam family: Bacterial small subunit ribosomal RNA
Source: RNAcentral
UACAGAGGUCCCAAGCGUUGUUCGGAUUCAUUGGGCGUAAAGGGUGCGUAGGCGGCGCGGUAAGUCGGGUGUGAAAUCUCGGGGCUUAACUCCGAAACUGCAUUCGAUACUGCCGUGCUUGAGGACUGGAGAGGAGACUGGAAUUUACGGUGUAGCGGUGAAAUGCGUAGAUAUCGUAAGGAAGACCAGUGGCGAAGGCGGGUCUCUGGACAGUUCCUGACGCUGAGGUGCGAAAGCGUGGGGAGCAAACAGG